GAUGAACGCUGGCGGCGUGCCUAACACAUGCAAGUCGAGCGAACAGAUGCGGAGCUUGCUCCUCUGACGUUAGCGGCGGACGGGUGAGUAACACGUGGAUAACCUACCUAUCAGACUGGGAUAACUUCGGGACACCGGCGCUAAUACCGGAUAAUAUAUUGAACCGCAUGGUUCAAUAGUGAAAGACGGUUUUGCUGUCUCUUAUAGAUGGAUCCGCGCCGCAUUAGCUAGUUGGUAAGGUAACGGCUUACCAAGGCAACGAUGCGUAGCCGACCUGAGAGGGUGAUCGGCCACCCUGGAAGUGAGACACGGUCCAGACUCCUACGGGAGGACGCAGAAGGGAAUCUGACGCAAUGGGCGAAAGGCUGACGGAGCAACGCCGCGUGAGUGAUGAAGGUGCUCGGAUCGUAAAGCUCUGUUAUUAGUGAAGAACAAAUGUGUAAGUAACUAUGCAGGUAUUGACGGUACCUGAUCAGAAAGCCACGGCUAACUACGUG
Molecule: ribosomal RNA, 497 nt
Filed under: uncultured bacterium
Lineage: Bacteria
Description: partial 16S ribosomal RNA
Rfam family: Bacterial small subunit ribosomal RNA
Source: RNAcentral